RNAcentral lists this ribosomal RNA (484 nucleotides) under uncultured bacterium. RNAcentral's name for it is "partial 16S ribosomal RNA". It matches the Rfam family "Bacterial small subunit ribosomal RNA", at positions 28 to 523 of the family's 1533-position model. The record is from RNAcentral.
GACGAACGCUGGCGGCGUGCUUAACACAUGCAAGUCGAACGAUGAACCCGGAGCUUGCUCCGGCGGAUUAGUGGCGAACGGGUGAGUAACACGUGAGUAACCUGCCCUUGACUCUGGGAUAACUGCUAGAAAUGGUAGCUAAUACCGGAUACGACCCUCGGUGGCAUCACCAGGGGGUGGAAAGAAUUUCGGUCAAGGAUGGACUCGCGGCCUAUCAGCUAGUUGGUGAGGUAACGGCUCACCAAGGCGACGACGGGUAGCCGGCCUGAGAGGGUGACGGGCCACACUGGGACUGAGACACGGCCCAGACUCCUACGGGAGGCAGCAGUGGGGAAUAUUGCACAAUGGGCGCAAGCCUGAUGCAGCAACGCCGCGUGAGGGAUGACGGCCUUCGGGUUGUAAACCUCUUUUAGUAGGGAAGAAGUGAAAGUGACGGUACCUGCAGAAAAAGCACCGGCUAACUACGUGCCAGCCGCCGCGGUAA